AACGCACAUUGCGCCCUUUGGUAUUCCGAAGGGCAUGCCUGUUCGAGCGUCAUUAUAACCACUCAAGCCUUCGCUUGGUAUUGGGGUUCGCGGUUCCGCGGCCUCUAAAAUCAGUGGCGGUGCCUGUCGGCUCUACGCGUAGUAAUACUCCUCGCGUCUGGGUCCGGUAGGUUGCUUGCCAACAACCCCCAAUUUUUUACAGGUUGACCUCGGAUCAGGUAGGGAUACCCGCUGAACUUAA
RNAcentral lists this unclassified non-coding RNA (241 nucleotides) under uncultured fungus. RNAcentral describes it as "partial contains 5.8S ribosomal RNA, internal transcribed spacer 2, and large subunit ribosomal RNA". The stretch from base 1 to 52 matches the Rfam family "5.8S ribosomal RNA", at positions 103 to 154 of the family's 154-position model. Lineage: Eukaryota; Fungi. The record is from RNAcentral.